Long non-coding RNA from Pyrus x bretschneideri (Chinese white pear), 1317 nucleotides. RefSeq lists it as uncharacterized. The transcript is spliced from 6 exons. The record is from RefSeq and is a predicted model, not a curated record. NCBI's taxonomy places the organism in Eukaryota, Viridiplantae, Streptophyta, Magnoliopsida, Rosales, Rosaceae.
AUGUGUAAGUGCAUAAUACACUCAUUUAAAUAACCCCAUUAUGGGAACUUAUCAUUUUCUAUUCAUCUAUAGGACUUUGAUGAGUGCAUCUAUUAUAUUGAUGAAGCUACAAGAUCUGGUGGUGGUGCGUUGGUUCAUUGCUUUGUGGGAACAUCCAAAAGAUGUCACAGUUGAUCACUCAUUGUCGGAGUGUGACCAAUGCGCCUCCCACAUUAUCACCAUCUAUUGCUCCAGCCGUGAGUGCUCCAUUAAAUGGGGAGCCUACACCCCUCAUUAGUGUCGGUUUAGUCGUUCAGUGCACGAUGGCCUCAUCGGCGUCGUCGCGAGCCGGAGCCUUCUGAUGACACUUCCUCAGCAUCUAGAGUUAAGGGUAAGGCCUCCUAGCCAGGUAGUUUUUUCUAAUUCUCACCACGAUGUUUUUUUUUUUUUUUUUUUUUGUUCAUUUUAAAACUAAUAUUGUUAUGAUGGUGAAAAUUUGUUGAAUUGUGAAAAUCUGUUGCAGGUUGUGAAUUACUGUUAUUUUACUGUUUUAAGGUUUUGGGAAAUGCUUAACUAUUAAAGGAGGUUGUGUCGAAUUUUUUGUACAAAUUUAAGCAUAGGGUUUUCACCUUUUAAGUAUUUUUGGCCAGCUAAAAAAAACACCAAGGGGCCUAGUCGAAUGCUGAAGCAGGCACAGAACGUACGUCAGGCUGCCUCCAAGAUCAAGAUUGUGUAUGACCUGUGACAUCGUGAAGCGGCUACCUCACAGCAGCAUAGCAACGUCGCAGUAGUUGUGGUGUUGUUAUUCGACAAAAUUGUCCUUUUCAGUGGGAGUCUUGGGCAAAAAUUCCCUAUGAGACGAAGAAACUGGUGUGAGACAAGUUGUCGGUCAUUUAUGAUCUUCAGGACAUAUCCCUCGAGACCAUGGCCUACUUAGAGAAAACCUUAGCAACCCGGUACAAACAUUGGACGAACAAUUUUCACACAUAUUUUAAGUGAUGGGAUGAUCCGAAUAUUGCUCGCCUACAUGUUCCAAGCGAGUUGUAGGACCGGCCGGAGGAUUGGCAAUGGCUUUGCAAACAUUUUAAGUACCCAAAUUUUGUGAAGAAAUCUGUUCUUGGCAAGAAAGCUCAGGAGUCAAAGAAACUUCUCCACCAUUCCGGUUUGAUGCCCUUUUCGUAUAGGCUUGAGGCACAAUGUCAAGUAAAAGAGGGUUCUAAGUUCCCAGAGAUUGACAUGUUCAAGGACAUUUAUGUUCGACCUGGUAAUGAGACCACUAAGCAGCUUCAUCUGUUAUGGUGGAAAAGAGCAUUGCUGUUCUCUAAGAAGCAACAUUGC